Molecule: long non-coding RNA, 4048 nt
Filed under: Homo sapiens (human)
Lineage: Eukaryota; Metazoa; Chordata; Mammalia; Primates; Hominidae
Description: non-protein coding lnc-IL6-3:26
Source: RNAcentral
GCCCUAGACUUCUUUCUCCAGGCUCCCGUUGUGUGGCUUGGCUGCCCACUACCUCAUUCCCAUCAAUGGACAAUGGCUGGGAGAGAAAGCCUCCGUGACUGUAAGUGACUCCCCAGACCCUUGGCCUCUGCCACCUGUCACCGAGCCCACUGACGCACCUCCACUGUCACGUUGGCAGUGCUCCAUGCAGUCUCUUGUCCCACAUUUCUUAAGAGGCAAAAAUUACAUUUACUUUACUGACCACAAGCCAGCACUGGGAGCUGGGAGGGUCGGGGUGGAGUGUUUCCUUCCAAUAAUGCUUCCUGGGGAAGGAAGCCUAAAACAACACAAAGCAAAGCUCCAGCCUUUCCAGAGGAAUGUGGGGGCAGCUAUUGCUGUCGCUGCCGCUGCUGCUGUGAUUUUCUGGAACACAAUGUCGUCAUGAGAACUCCUAGGCACCCUCUCCCAUGGCAGACCUGCUCUACUGGCAUGCUUAUUUGGGAUACUGAGAAAAUAUGAGGAUGCCAAGACAAAUGAAGUCUUGGCACUCACAUCUACGGAGAUAAAAGCAUUUUUAUGAAUUCUGAUGCUUUUCCUUCUUUUUUUCUCUUUCUUCUUCCUCCUCCUGCCUCCUCAUUCUCCCUCUCCUCCGCCAUCAACCCCAUCUUAUAAAUAGUUGUUGAACUUCCACUAUGAAUUUCCACCAACGUACUGAGCUAGGUACUUUGAGAAACACAAAAAUGUGCAUUGAGGUAAAAGGAACACAGCACAGGGAUCUAGUGACCUCCCUUUCUAAACCUCAUUUUAUUCACUGUUUUCUCAAAAAUUCAUGUGGAUAAUAUGAUUGUUAAUGAUGAGGUAUAACAUGUUCUGCCCUUGUAGUCUCCUGGGAGAGGCAGGUACUUGGAAAACUACUGAGAACCUGGAGAAGUGCCUUUAAUAAAGUGAUAAACACAAAGUCCUAAGAUUGCAUCUAGUUUAUUGAAUCACAAAGUGUUUUCAAUGGAUUAGUGGAUUGUAUAAUGUAAUCUUUACAACAAUCCUGUGCAGUAGGAAGGGGAACAAUGUUGUUAGUUUUUGGUUUAUCUGUCCCUCCACAGUCCCUGGAGAAGGGAACUUGUUAUAGAGUCAGAUUUUUAUAGUUAAAGCAACUAUUGGAAAAAGAAAAGAAAAACCACCAGCCUAGCACGUUCCUUAUAUGGAUGAGGAACCCGAGGUUGGAAGUCAGCCUGAGGUAAUAGAAAAAGCAGAACAUUCCACCUGGUCACCUGGGUUCCUGCUCAGUUCUCAGCCAUAUGCUGGACACAUGAUUUUGCACAUGACUUCUUUAUGCCUUGAUACCCUCUUCUGUAAAAUUAAGUCAACACUAUUUUAUCUGACUGUCUUAUUAGGCUGUUAUGAAUGUUAAAUGAGAGAAUGAAUAUGAAAACACUUUGUGAAACAUUAAAUGCUAUUAUAACUAACAAUACCUUUUUGUACCAGGUAUCACGGAACAGUCUCCACUCCAGGUUAUGGAUCCACUGUUGGGCAGUUCUACACUGCUCACAUCCGGAUGCCGAUUCUGCCAGCAAAUCCAUCUGAUUCUAUCUCUCUCUCCGGUCUGUCUAACUCUAGGUUCUGCACAUGUCUAACAUGUGGUUGUGUGAGUGCCAGAGUGCAAGCUCUUGGGAGGCAGGGGACACAUUUAUUGAUGUUGUAUCACCAACAUUUAGUACAUGCCUGCUAAAAAGUUACUGUCAACAUAUUUGUUGAACAAUGAUUACUGGAUGGGUGGAUGAAACAUCAAUAUGACUUGCCCAAGGGCAGUUAUGAAUGUCUCCAAAACUAUUUCAGGGGUAAUUCAUGAACAUGUCCUCUGAGGAUUCUUCUUCCAUCUCUAAGUCAGUUCCUAUGAUAUGACUACCUCAGGGCAAGAAAGUCACUGUGUCCCUGCUACAACAAAAGAUCACUCAUGUUUCCCGACCACUCAUGUUACCCUCUCUCUUCUCAAGAGGGCAUUUCCUUUCAAUGAUGUGAUUUUACAUACUGCAUGCCUGUAUCAAAACAUCUAAUGUAUCCCAUAAAUAUACAUAUAUCUACUAUGUACCCGCAAAAAUUAAAAAAAAAAUUUUUUUUAAAGAGGGCAUUUUGGCCAGGUGCAGUGGCUCACACCUGUAAUCCCAGCACUUUGGGAGGCCAAGGUGGGUGGAUCACUUGAGAUCAGGAGUUCAAGACCAGCCUGGUCAACAUGGUGAAACCCUGUCUCUACUAAAAAAUACAAAAAUUAGCCAGGUGUGGUGGUAGGCGCCUGUAAUCCCAGCUACUCGGGAGGCUGAGGCAGGGAGAAUCGUUUGAACCUGGGAGGCAGAGGUUGCAGUGAGCUGAGAUUGUGCCACCGUGCUCCAACCUGGGUGACUGAGCAAGACUCUAUCUCAAAAAAAAAAAAAAAAAAAAAAAGAGGGCAUUUCCCAUUUCUUUUUAUAAACUCUAUUCCAGUUAUGUUGAGUGUCAGCCAAAGAUCUGAGGUUGGUGUCCUGCAGCCAGUACUGCUGGAAUGGAUUGACAGUCAUGGGAAUGUACCAGGUAUCAUGGGGGCAGGCCCUGCUCUAGGUUAUGGAGCCACUGUUGGGUAGUCCUACCCUUCUCACAUCCAGAUGCAGAUUCCGCUGGCAAUUCCAUCUAGUCCUAUGAGACAUUCCCUGGAAAUGAUGUGCUCAUCCUCAUCAGCUACGUGAUGAAUGAAUCCAGGGGUGUUUGUCUGUGAAGUGUCUGCUAUCUCCUGUGCUUGAUUUACUGACGUGGAUGUUGUUCUCGAGGUGUGGGUUGAAGCCAUGAAAAUAAAUGCCUUCAAGGAAGGUAUGUAAGCAGACUGCAGUAUUGGAGGGUACUCACAGUUGGUAAGUAGGGCAGGGAAGAGGAAUGAGAAAAGGUAAGAAGGAGAGAGAGAAGUGAGAGAAUGAGAGUGAGGUAGUGACACUAGGAAAGUGACAUGUCAUGGGAGACAAAAACAAAAACAAAAAAAACGAGAGAGAGACGAAAUAACAGUGCCACAUCCUGAUAGAGUCAUCAAACUCUGAUGAAAGUCUAUUAAAUAUGGCAAUAAAGAGGUCAUUAGCAAGAUGUAGGAGAAAAGGUUUAGACAUGUGAUGAGUGAGAAGAAAGCCAGGAGAGAUGUGGCUGCCCAGGAAGGUGAGGCAGUGGUGGUGCCUGAUGUAUUCAAGUAUUUGGAUAGGAAAGAAUGUUGCCCUGUAGAGGAAAGAAUGUUGCCCUGUAGUGAAAAGAACCACCAGGUUCAAAUGAAGAUCAUGUCAAUGUGGGCAAAUCUCAGUACACAGGAUGAUAGGAGAAAAAGAAUCAGAAGAGAGAGGAUGUUUCAAAGGGAAGAGUGGCUGAGGGAUCCAGAUUUUUAGGAAAGGAUGGGAUUCAUAUGACUGAGGUCAGAAUCCUAGCCUAAAGUUGUAAAAUGAGGUCAGUGAAGUUACACUGUCAAACGCCAGCUCCCCAAAUGACCAUAGAAAACCCUUAGAACCAAGCAAAACUAAGGGGUAGAUAUUUACAGGGAUUUGUGGGUCUGGGUUCAAGUGGUUUAAGGCAAAUCUUUUUUUUUCCUAUGUCUUGUAAAUUUUUUUUUUUUUUUUUUUUUUUUUUUUACUUUAAGUUCUGGAAUACAUGUGCAGAACAUGCUGGUUUGUUACAUACGUGUGCCAUGGUGGUUUGCUGCACCUAUCAACCUGUCACCUAGGCUUUAAGCCCCACAUGCAUUAGCCACUUGUCCUGAUGCUCUCCCUCCCCUCACUCACCCCCUGACAGGUCCCAGUAUGUGUUAUUCCAUUCCCUGUGUCCAUGUGUUCUCAUUGUUCAACUCCCACUUAUGAGUGAGAACAUGUGGUGUUUGGUUUUCUGUUCCUGUGUUAGUUUGCUGAGGAUGAUGGCUUCCAGUCUCAUCCAUGUCCCUGCAAAGGACAUGAUACCACAUUCCUUUUUGUAGCUGCGUAGUAUUCCAUGGUGUAUAUGUACCACAUUUUCUUUAUCCAGUCUAUCAUUAUGGGCAUUUGGGUCAGUUCCAUGUCUUUGUUAUUGUGAAUAGUGC